AACGAACGCUGGCGGCAUGCCUAACACAUGCGAGUCGAACGAAGCCUUCGGGCUUAGUGGCGCACGGGUGCGGAACGCGGGGGAAUCUGCCCCUUUCUUCGGAAUAACAGUUAGAAAUGACUGCUAAUACCGGAUGACGUCUUCGGACCAAAGAUUUAUCGGGAAGGGAUGAGCCCGCGUAGGAUUAGGUAGUUGGUGGGGUAAAGGCCUACCAAGCCGACGAUCCUUAGCUGGUCUGAGAGGAUGAUCAGCCACACUGGGACUGAGACACGGCCCAGACUCCUACGGGAGGCAGCAGUGGGGAAUACUGGACAAUGGACGCAAGUCUGAUCCAGCAAGGCCGGGUGAGUGAUGAAGGCCUUAGGGUUGUAAAGCUCUUUUACCAGGGAUGAUAAUGACAGUACCUGGAGAAUAAGCUCCGGCUAACUCCGUG
Molecule: ribosomal RNA, 433 nt
Filed under: uncultured bacterium
Lineage: Bacteria
Description: partial 16S ribosomal RNA
Rfam family: Bacterial small subunit ribosomal RNA
Source: RNAcentral